GAUGAAGAACGUAGCGAAAUGCGAUACUUGGUGUGAAUUGCAGAAUCCCGUGAACCAUCGAGUCUUUGAACGCAAGUUGCGCUCGAAGCCAUUAGGCCGAGGGCACGCCUGCCUGGGCGUCACACGUCGUUGCCCCCCCAUCUACUCCUUCGGGAUUGCGGGGGGCGGAUGAUGGCCUCUCGUGCGCCUCGUCGCGCGGUUGGCCUAAAUGCCAAGUCCUCGGCGACGCACGCCACGACAAUCGGUGGUUGCGAAACCUCGGUUGCCUGUCGUGUGCGGUCGUCGCGCAUCGAGGGCUCGAAAAAAUUGCCGGGCUUCGGCUCGACUUUCAACGCGACCCCAGGUCAGGCGGGGUUACCCGCUGAAUUUAAGCAUAUCAAUAAGCGGAGGA
RNAcentral lists this unclassified non-coding RNA (391 nucleotides) under soil metagenome. RNAcentral's name for it is "partial contains 5.8S ribosomal RNA, internal transcribed spacer 2, and large subunit ribosomal RNA". The stretch from base 1 to 122 matches the Rfam family "5.8S ribosomal RNA", at positions 35 to 154 of the family's 154-position model. The record is from RNAcentral.